AUGAGUGAAGACAUGAAUCAGAAAUUCUUGCCUACCGAAUACAAGCAACGCAUGCACCUCAGGUUUGCACAGUUGAAACCAGAUAAUUUGAUCCGUUGA
This is a long non-coding RNA of Telopea speciosissima, 99 nucleotides long. RefSeq lists it as uncharacterized. The transcript is spliced from 3 exons. The record is from RefSeq and is a predicted model, not a curated record. Lineage: Eukaryota; Viridiplantae; Streptophyta; Magnoliopsida; Proteales; Proteaceae.